This 400-nucleotide ribosomal RNA is filed under the name phytoplankton environmental sample. RNAcentral describes it as "partial small subunit ribosomal RNA". It matches the Rfam family "Eukaryotic small subunit ribosomal RNA", at positions 587 to 991 of the family's 1831-position model. The record is from RNAcentral.
AGCUCCAAUAGCGUAUAUUAAAGUUGUUGCAGUUAAAAAGCUCGUAGUUGGAUUUCGGGGCGGCCUGUCUGGUCCGUCGCGAGACGAGUACUGGUCAGCCGCCCUUCCUCUCGAAAGCCCCGACUGCUCUUAACUGCAGUGGUCGGGUAGUUCGGGACGUUUACUUUGAAAAAAUUAGAGUGUUCAAGGCAGGCUCGCCAGCUUGAAUACAUGAGCAUGGAAUAAUGGAAUAGGACUACGGUCCCUAUUUCGUUGGUUUGACGGACCGAAGUAAUGAUUAAGAGGGACAAUUGGGGGCAUCCGUAUUUCGUAGUCAGAGGUGAAAUUCUUGGACCUACGAAAGACGAACAACUGCGAAAGCAUUUGCCAAGAGUGUUUUCAUUAAUCAAGAACGAAAGUA